RNAcentral lists this long non-coding RNA (945 nucleotides) under Mustela putorius furo (domestic ferret). RNAcentral's name for it is "lncRNA (ENSMPUG00000028978.1)". The record is from RNAcentral. Lineage: Eukaryota; Metazoa; Chordata; Mammalia; Carnivora; Mustelidae.
AUGAGCCUUGCUGGAGUUAGUGGCAAGUGGCGCGCUGCCCAUCUAAUUCCCCUAAUUCACGGCAAGACCACACUCAGGCUCUUGCAACCAGGAGCAGGUGGCCUGAGAAUGCGAAUUAAUAACUGCAUGUCCCAGCUCCCAACAUGCCUGCUUAGAGAAGCUGUCCACGACUACCAAGACAAAAGAUACAGCGUGCUUCCUCCUAGGCGCGGGAGAGGAGGGGAACCCUACCCAAGACUCCGCAGCCCUCAGGGACCCUGCGUGGUCUCUACCUCCGGAUGGGGCUGCGGAGCUCCUGACGGCCGCCAGGUGGCGCGGGAGACGCGCCUGCUUCUCCAAGCUGGGCGGGGCUGGACCCGUCCUGGAGUAGGGGCUCCUCCGGAAGUCUUUGCCUCAAACCUAUUUAGAAGCCCUUUGUACAAAAAAAAAGAAAAAAAAAACCUGGGUGACUCAAUCGGUUGAGCGUCUGCCUUCGGCUCAGGUCAUGAUCCUGGAGUCCCAGGAUGGAGCCUGCAUCAGGCUCUCUUUUCAGCUGGGGGCCUGCUUCUCCCUCUCCCUCUGCCUCCUGCUCCCUUUGCUUGUUCUCACUCUUGCUCUGUCAAAUAAAUAAAUAAAAUCUUAAAAUAAAAUAAAAUCUUUAAAGAAAAGCUAAACUCAUGACUCUUAUACAGUUAGACAAGGAGCAUUUGUCAAAGAUGUAAUUCAACUUAUUAAUUAACAAGGGAGCACUAAGAUAGUAAAUUGAUGCAAAGAACAUUUGAGGAACUGUAUUUUUCACUUUCUCCUACCCCCCUAAGAAAUUGGCAUUUAUACAAUUCAUUUAAAAAUGCUGGGAUGAGGGGCACCUGGGUGGCUCAGUUGGUUAAGCUGCUGCCUUCAGCUCAGGUCAUGAUCCCAGGGUCCUGGGAUCGAGUCCCACAUUGGGCUGUCUGCUCAGCAAAGAGC